Scatophagus argus is the source of this 1180-nucleotide long non-coding RNA. RefSeq lists it as uncharacterized. Lineage: Eukaryota; Metazoa; Chordata; Actinopteri; Scatophagidae. The transcript is spliced from 4 exons. The record is from RefSeq and is a predicted model, not a curated record.
UGUUAGCCUGUGUUAGUUCCUUUUGGCGCUUGUCCCGUCUGGUCUUUGGGUUUGCGUUUUUUUUAGUUCUUGUUGUUUUGCCCUGUGUUUAACCAAGUGUUUAUUUCUAAGUCUAUUCAUGUUUGUUUUCUUUCUUUCAGUGGCGGGAGACUAGGCGCACAUGGUGAGGUCCCCAUACUUAAUGCACUGAGAGAACUGAGACACAAAUGCAGACUGCACUAUUUUUGCUGUGAGGACUGCUGCGUUGCACCCACAGUGAAUAAGUGGUAUCACCCCUGCAUGCUGCUCCGUGUGCUCUGGCUCUCCACAGGGGUCCUCAGAUCACUUUCCUCAGUGAAGGCAAAAUCCAUGAUCGCUCAGUGCUGUCCCACUGUGAAUUUGGCCAGCGUUCGAGUGCUCUAUGGUUGACUACUUGAGCACUUUGCAUAUACAAGGCAUUACGGUCGAGACAUAAAACUGUUGACUGACGUGCAUUUCGGGCUCAGACAGACUGGGUCAUUACAAUCGUCUUACAGUCAUCUGCCACAUGUGGCAUCUUCAUCCUUAGGAGCCCCUUGUCCUGGAUGCAUCUGAUUGACUGGGAGUAUUUAGGCUUCCUGACGACCUGGGGAAAACUUCAUCUGGUUGAUUCUGGUUAAUUCAGCAUCAGCUGCCUGCACGUCACCUCAUGUGUAGGCCAGUAUGCAAACCUUUCCUGUCCGGACACGCUGAUUGGUGGAGCUGGUUGGAUGAUCUGAGAAGAGAGACCCUUUAGGUGUCCCACAGGAUGUGUGUCCUCUGUCCCCGGUUCUGCUCCACAUCUUGAGGAGAGCCGUUGAGGUUUGCCAGACCGCACUGGUUGAACCACCAUCCUGUCUGGUUGUGCUGCGUGCUGCAGCUCUCCACCGUGCGGUUCUCGAUGGAGCAGAAAGGAUUGCAGCCAUCAUUGUCCACAUCUGAGGCACUGAACGGAGCCGUGUCCUGGUUCUGCUCCUGCUCGUAGCCGCGAAAUGCAUCACCUGUGGAAAAAGACAUUCACAGAAAUGCACACAGGCAUGCAGGUGUAUUCUGAAGAACUGGGUUUCGUUGUCCAGGCGGAAGUCAUCAUAUGAUGCAUAUGAGGUGACGUCGUCGUGAGAGACCAGAGCCAUGUGAAGCUGGAACCGAGUGUCUUUCUGGUUUACGAUAUGAAAUACCUUCU